GAUGAACGCUGGCGGCGUGCUUAACGCAUGCAAGUCGAACGAGAAGUGGAGACGGACACCUUCGGGCGGAAGACUUUAUUUCGAGUGGCGGACGGGUGAGUAACGCGUGGGUAACCUGCCUCAUACAGGGGGAUAACAGUUGGAAACGACUGUUAAUACCGCAUAAGACCACAGCACCGCAUGGUGCGGGGGUAAAAACUCCGGUGGUAUGAGAUGGACCCGCGUUCGAUUAGCCAGUUGGCGGGGUAACGGCCCACCAAAGCGACGAUCGAUAGCCGAUCUGAGAGGAUGACCGGCCACAUUGGGACUGAGACACGGCCCAAACUCCUACGGGAGGCAGCAGUGGGGAAUAUUGCACAAUGGGGGAAACCCUGAUGCAGCGACGCCGCGUGAGUGAAGAAGUAUUUCGGUAUGUAAAGCUCUAUCAGCAGGGAAGAAAAUGACGGUACCUGAGUAAGAAGCCCCGGCUAACUACGU
RNAcentral lists this ribosomal RNA (477 nucleotides) under uncultured bacterium. RNAcentral's name for it is "partial 16S ribosomal RNA". It matches the Rfam family "Bacterial small subunit ribosomal RNA", at positions 28 to 506 of the family's 1533-position model. The record is from RNAcentral.